RNAcentral lists this ribosomal RNA (309 nucleotides) under uncultured bacterium. RNAcentral describes it as "bacterial SSU rRNA". It matches the Rfam family "Bacterial small subunit ribosomal RNA", at positions 28 to 334 of the family's 1533-position model. The record is from RNAcentral.
GACGAACGCUGGCGGCGUGCCUAACACAUGCAAGUCGAACGGGAGCAAGUGCUUCGGUAUUUGCUUUAGUGGCGAACGGGUGAGUAACGCGUGAGGAACCUGCCUUUCAGAGGGGGACAACAGUUGGAAACGACUGCUAAUACCGCAUGACACAUCGAAGGGGCAUCCCUUUGAUGUCAAAGAUUUUAUCGCUGAAAGAUGGCCUCGCGUCCGAUUAGAUAGUUGGCGGGGUAACAGCCCACCAAGUCGACGAUCGGUAGCCGGACUGAGAGGUUGACCGGCCACAUUGGGACUGAGACUACGGCCCAG